GACGAACGCUGGCGGCGUGCUUAACACAUGCAAGUCGAACGGAAAGGCCCUGCUUUUGUGGGGUGCUCGAGUGGCGAACGGGUGAGUAACCCGUGAGUAACCUGCCAUUGACUUUGGGAUAACUUCAGGAAACUGGUGCUAAUACCGGAUAGGAGCUCCUGCUGCAUGGUGGGGGUUGGAAAGUUUCGGCUGUUGGGGAUGGUCUCGCGGCUCAUCAGCUUGUUGGUGGGGUAGUGGCUUACCAAGGCUUUGACAGGUAGCCGGCCUGAGAGGGUGACCGGCCACGUUGGGACUGGACUGCGGCCCAGACUCCUCCGGGAGGCAGCAGUGGGGUAUAGUGCACAAUGGGAUGAAGCCUGAUGCAGCAACGCCGCGUGCGGUAUGACGGCCUUCGGGUUGUAUACCGCUUUCGCCUGUGACGAAGCGUGAGUGACGGUAAUGGGUAAAGAAGCACCGGCUAACUACGUG
Molecule: ribosomal RNA, 468 nt
Filed under: uncultured bacterium
Lineage: Bacteria
Description: partial 16S ribosomal RNA
Rfam family: Bacterial small subunit ribosomal RNA
Source: RNAcentral